Molecule: ribosomal RNA, 331 nt
Filed under: uncultured eukaryote
Lineage: Eukaryota
Description: partial 18S ribosomal RNA
Rfam family: Eukaryotic small subunit ribosomal RNA
Source: RNAcentral
CCCUUAGAUGUUCUGGGCCGCACGCGAGCUACACUGACGAAGUCAGCGAGCAUGUCCUACGCCGACAGGUGCGGGGAAUCUUGUCAAACUUCGUCGUGAUGGGGAUUGAUUAUUGAAAUUCUUGAUCAUCAACGAGGAAUUCCUAGUAAGCGCAAGUCAGCAGCUUGCGUUGAUUACGUCCCUGCCCUUUGUACACACCGCCCGUCGCUACUACCGAUUGAAUGGUUUAGUGAGAUCUUCGGAUUGGCGCCACUGCGGCUCAGCAAUGGGCUCGGUGGAUGCCGAAAAGUUGAUCAAACUUGAUCAUUUAGAGGAAGUAAAAGUCGUAACA